ACUCAUGAUGAUAUACUUGUGGAAUCUUGUUCGACUGAAAUUCUGUUGACAAAUUUUUUAACUGAUGUUA
Triplophysa dalaica is the source of this 70-nucleotide small nucleolar RNA. RefSeq annotates it as small nucleolar RNA SNORD30. The record is from RefSeq and is a predicted model, not a curated record. The transcript has a single exon. NCBI's taxonomy places the organism in Eukaryota, Metazoa, Chordata, Actinopteri, Cypriniformes, Nemacheilidae.